This 1127-nucleotide long non-coding RNA is filed under the name Mus musculus (house mouse). Its description in RNAcentral is "long non-coding RNA chr18:23965742-23966869". The record is from RNAcentral. Lineage: Eukaryota; Metazoa; Chordata; Mammalia; Rodentia; Muridae.
AGUCUUCCUGGAGAUGCCAUGGCCACUGAUGCAACACAUUCAAUAAUUUCUUGCUUUGCUGUCAAUAUUUUCCCAGUCACCAUCUUGCUAUCUAAAAAUAUGAAUAGGAUUUAUCUUUUUUUUUUUUUCAUGUUAAAAAAAGUGUUAGAGAAGAAACAACAAGUAAACCAAAGGAAAAGAUAAGUGCUGGGUCUGGAGAGGUAGCUUAGUGAUUUAAGAGUGCAUAUUCGUCUUGCAGAAGACCCACUUCAGUUUCUAGAACCCACAUGGUGGCUCACAACCAUACCUAACUUCAGUUCCAGGAGCUCCAACAUCGUUUUCUUGCCUCUAUGGGACAAGUCAUGCAGGUGGUGCAUGUAUAGACAUACAGACAAACAUGCAAACUUUUUUCAAAACAAAACAGGGAUGGACAUACAGACAAAUGACAGAGUAUUUGCAAACACAAGGCCCUGGGUUUGAUCUUCAGGAUUAGGGAAGGGAUAUGGCUGGGGAAAUGACAAUUAGCUUCCCAAUAUAGAAUAUAGCACCCACGAGAGUAAAAUGGACAAGGAACGUAAGUCAGUAUUGAAGAUACUGAGUAGUGAACAAGAAAAAAAAUACUUAGAGGUGACAAAUAGUUCAUACCAGCCAUAAGCCAGAAAGGGAAGAGACUUCUAGAUAAGCUAAUGUGAGAGGAGAGGUGAUACUAAAAUGUCUUAAGAGUUGUACAUCAGCACAUCUAUCAAAGUAGGAGAGCAAGUGAUACUAUAAAAUGUUUGGAGGAUAAGAAUUGGACAAAGGGAGGUGGGCAGGACAUAGAAAGCAAGAAAGCAUUUGCAAAUUCUCACAGGUUCCAAAUAGGGCAAAUAUAAGCAGUAUAUUUAUGUAUAGUUAUAUAUAUUUUAUAUUUAUAUAAAAGUUUUACUUACAAAGUUUAUGUGUUCAUACACCGUUUUAUAUAUAAUAUUUUUAUAUUUUAAUGUAUUAUAUAUUAUUUUUAUAUAAACAUAAGCAAUAUAUAAAUAAAUAUAAGCAAAUAUAAAUGUAAGUAGAGAAAGAAAAAACAUUUAAAAAGAAAUACUCUGAGUUCCUUACUCAUUUUAAGUCAAGUAAGAAUAUUAAUAAUUCAUCCCAUAAGUAUAAAUGGC